Molecule: long non-coding RNA, 4955 nt
Organism: Oncorhynchus nerka (sockeye salmon)
Lineage: Eukaryota; Metazoa; Chordata; Actinopteri; Salmoniformes; Salmonidae
Exons: 2
Source: RefSeq, a predicted model, not a curated record
UGAGCUAUGGGAACCUCCCCAGGGUUGGCUGUCUGAGCUCUCACUACCUGCAUCCACAUGACUGAGCUAUGGGAACCUCCCCAGGGUUGGCUGUCUGAGCUCUCACUCCCUGCAUCCACAUGACUGAGCUAUGGGAACCUCCCCAGGGUUGGCUGUCUGAGCUCUCACUCCCUGCAUCCACAUGACUGAGCUAUGGGAACCUCCCCAGGGUUGGCUGUCUGAGCUCUCACUGCCUGCAUCCAUAUGACUGAGCUAUGGGAACCUCCCCAGGGUUGGCUGUCUGAGCUCUCACUACCUGCAUCCACAGCCAUAUGACUGAGCUAUGGGAACCUCCCCAGGGUUGGCUGUCUGAGCUCUCACUCCCUGCAUCCACAGCUAUAUGACUGAGCUAUGGGAACCUCCCCAAGGUUGGCUGUCUGAGCUCUCACUACCUGCAUCCACAUGACUGAGCUAUGGGAACCUCCCCAGGGUUGGCUGUCUGAGCUCUCACUCCCUGCAUCCAUAUGACUGAGCUAUGGGAACCUCCCCAGGGUUGGCUGUCUGAGCUCUCACUCCCUGCAUCCAUAUGACUGAGCUAUGGGAACCUCCCCAGGGUUGGCUGUCUGAGCUCUCACUCCCUGCAUCCACAGCUAUAUGACUGAGCUAUGGGAACCUCCCCAGGGUUGGCUGUCUGAGCUCUCACUACCUGCAUCCACAUGACUGAGCUAUGGGAACCUCCCCAGGGUUGGCUGUCUGAGCUCUCACUACCUGCAUCCACAUGACUGAGCUAUGGGAACCUCCCCAGGGUUGGCUGUCUGAGCUCUCACUGCCUCUGUUCAUAAAGGGAGCUUCACUCACUAUUCAGCUCUCAUUCAUGACUACCAUCAGCAUGAAACACUGGAGAAUCUGACUGGGGGGCGGGGGUGACAAAAGGGGGGGGUACUUUUCCAGUCUAAUCCACCCUUUUCAUCAGAAUUGUUCCAACUAAAACUAUAGAGCUGCAUCAUACUUUCUAUAUUUUACGUCUAGCUGAAGAGUCUGUGCUUGAGGAAGGAUGAUUUGUGUUUUAGGUCUGAUAAUGUUUACUAGUUUAUACAAGGCUUGGCUAACAAUGUCACAGAAACGAUGCGAGCUCUUCAAUGGGACCCGAAGGCUGUGUGUGGUGAUUCUGGAUGGUCAGAUGGCAACGAGGAAGUAGGGGGACUCGUUCAAUCUCGUUCUGUCACCAGAGCUCGGUGCUUAUUAUGGGAUGUAUUAGGUUACGAUAUCCGACUUCUUCGAUAUAGCGUUAGCGAUAUGUUAGAGAAAGAACCCACUGAACGAUUCAGAAUAUGAAGAAUCAUAUUUGUCUUGGUAAAAUGUAUUUUAUAACAACGGAAGUGAAAUGCAAUCACCAAAGCGCGUUACGGACACCCUUUGUGUUUGAGAGACAAGUGCACAUUUUUAUUUAUGUUUUCAAUAAACAUUGAAAUAUAGUUUACAUGUUGUCAACAGUCUAAUAAAAAAAAGAACGAUCUCGCUCUCCCAGAACAAGCUUGGCUAGUGGUAAAAACCUGCUUAUUCAGACAAAAGACCAAUCUAAGCCGACCACGUCUCUGCUAAACAACCAACCCAUCCAUUUGUUAGCUUACUAACUGGGCCUGGCAGUCAUACACAUCAUAUGAAACUAAUGAGGUGGUAAGUGCAGCACCAUGCUCACAACACUAAAUGCUUUACCAAGCUAGCUAUCUGGCCACUGUCGCUAGUGACAUCAUUAACUCGCAAUGGAUCAGUUUUCACGAAGCAGCUGCCUAGAGACCCUUUACCUACCUACCUAGCUAGCUAGCGAAUCAUGCUAACCAUUUAGCUUACGUUAGCCAGCUAGCUAAAAGUCUAUCUAUGGGGCUGUAUGCGAUUAUGGAAAGUGAAUUAAAAAAAUAUAUAUCUUUCUGUGGCCAUCUGACUAGUAUCAAAAAGGGCAUUCUGCAACAUCAGUGCAGCUAGCUAACAUUGACUAGACCGUAAAGCAACACACACGGACAUCCAUUGCCAAACAACGCUAUUGCCAUCUUCUGGUUUAAAGUAUUUUAACGAGGCUGAGGACUUCGCUGUGUGACAACUCUGUUCGGAGGUGCUAAGUACUGUCGGCAGGCAAACAUUUGACAAUCCUACUGAUGUGUCUGUUAUUGAUUAAAUACCUUGUUAACAGCGCAAUUUUUGAAGCCACAACUAAUGUCUGGAUUGGACAUUUUGUGCCUUUCCUUUAUUGCUCAUUUGGAACACAGGAGGUUGGUGGCACCUUAAUUAGGGAGGACGGGCUCGUGGUAAUGGCUGGAGUGGAAUCAGUGGAACGGUAUCAAAUACAUUCAUUUUUUAAACCUUUAUUUAACUAGGCAAGUCAGUUAAGAACAAAUUCUUAUUUUCAAUGACGGCCUAGGAACAGUGGGUUAACUGCCUUGUUCAGGGGCAGAACGACAGUCAGCUCGGGGAUUUGAACUUGCAACCUUCCGGUUAUUAGCCCAACGUUCUAACCACUAGGCUACCCUGCUGCCCCACAUGGUUUGAUACCCUUCCAUUCGCUCCAUUGCAGCCAUUUAUUAUGAGCCGUCCUCCCCCCAGCAGCCUCCUCUGAUUUACACCAGCUGGUCUAGCGGUCAGUUGUAUUCAAACAGUGCUUUUCUCUCUCUCUCCGUGCUUCACCUCCUGCUAGGAUGCCAAAGUAAGUGUUACAUCUACCUGAUCUGCUUUAUUUAAUCGUGGCGUUGGAGCAGUUACUCAAGUCAUUGCAUUUAGGCUUCAAACACCUGUUUCUUGUAUGCACUCCAUAAACCAAUCAAACGGGUCCAUCUUCAGACUGACUACAGUGUUUUAUCCUUCUCAACUGUCCUGUUGUCUGUUCCCUCCCUCCUUUAGGAAGCUGAAGCCCCACGGAGUGUCCUGGAGGAGAUUGGCCUGACAUAAAGUCCCUCCAUCACUGCCCCAACUAUCUCCCUCUCUUUACUCUCUCUCUCUUCACGGGGGCCCAAACAUCUUGUUCUCGCUCCUUUGAUGUGCUGUAGUGUUGUCUUGUACUAAAACUCUUAUCAUGUUGUUAAUGUUACUUGUGCCAACUGUCUGUUCCUUGUUUUUUUUUUUGUACCUCGUCAAACACUCACCUUUUGAAACCCCUGGGGUUUAUGCAGCCAGUGGCCACAAACUACACCAAUAAUAACUGAAAUCUCACCCACCUUCCUUAAGUCCGUGUUUUUGUUGUACGUGACAUGUCCGUGACGGGCAUUUUAACUCCAGUCUCGUCUAGAGAAUUUAAAACAAUUCAAAGUAUAUCAUAAAGAGUAAGAAACCCCUUUUUUUACUUAAAUGGGAUGUUCACAAGUAAAGAAAAAGCAAAACGAUGUCAGUAUUUUUAAAGAAGUGUUACAGUUUAAAAGUAUUAAUGUUCAUUCUUUCAUUGUUUGACCAAAGAACACUGUGUUAUAAUCAUAUCGUUUUGAAGAUAAAUGGUGUUUAGGGGGAAAAUAUGUGCUCUCUCAGGGUUGGGGUCAAUUCUAUUUAAAUUCCAAUCAAUUCAGAAAGUAAACCAAUUUACACUUUUUACUCAUUGAAAAUCAUUGAAGGAAAUGUGCAUUGGAAUAUCAGUGUAUUCCUGAAUUUAAAUGGAAUUGACCCAAGCCUUGCUCUGUAUAGCCUGAGUCCCAGAUCUUUGUGCUGUCUUGCUACCUCCUGUGUCGUUCAGUUGGGAAGACGGCACAAACACACCUGGGACUCCUCCCAUUCUGCAUGCUUUAAAAGGCAAGGGAAGAGUAACACCGGGGACUCCGCCCACUCUGCAUGCUUUAAAAGGCAAGGGAAGAGUAACACCGGGGACUCCGCCCACUCUGCAUGCUUUAAAAGGCAAGGGAAGAGUAACACUGGGGACUCCGCCCACUCUGCAUGCUUUAAAAGGCAAGGGAAGAGUAACACUGGGGACUCCGCCCACUCUGCAUGCUUUAAAAGGCAAGGGAAGAGUAACAUCCUGGGGACUCCGCCCACUCUGCAUGCUUUAAAAGGCAAGGGAAGAGUAGCAUCCUGGGGACUCUGCCCACUCUGCGUGCUUUAAAAGGCAAGGGAAGAGUAACACUGGGGACUCCUCCCACUCUGCAUGCUUUAAAAGGCAAGGGAAGAGUAACUCCUCCCACUCUGCAUGCUUUAAAAGGCAAGGGAAGAGUAACACUGGGGACUCCGCCCACUCUGCAUACUUUAAAAGGCAAGGGAAGAGUAACUCCUCCCACUCUGCAUGCUUUAAAAGGCAAGGGAAGAGUAACUCCGCCCACUCUGCAUGCUUUAUAAGGCAAGGGAAGAGUAACACAAGUGAAAAUGAACAAAAAGGGAUUCUGUUACUAAUCAAACUUCUAUUCGUCACACAAUGUUUUAACUGUCAAUGAAAAUGCAUUUAGGGCACUUGAUUCGUAGCCUGGUUCUGAACUGAAUUCAUGAAGUGAUCGUGAAACUGGAAUAUUCUGUUUGAAUCAUAACAGGCUACUUGUUGAGGAAGGUUGUGACAAUUGAAGCACAAAUCAUGAGGUACUCCCACUAUAUCACUGCCUGUGCUUAGUGCACACAGACAUGACCAGUUAUUGAAUUGUUUACACAAACCAUUGGUUAAAGAAGCCUAAACCUGUUGCAAUUCCCUGUCUACCGUACAGACUGCUCCUUUACCAAUGACCAGAACGGUGUCCUGUGAGGACAUUUAAUGUUCUCUUUCAGCUUGUACUGUAUUGGCUCUUUAACUGUGGUGACAUCCCAAAUGGCACCCUAUUCCCUACAUAGUGCACUACUUUUGGCCAGAGCCUAUGAAGAAGUGCACUAUAUAGGGAAUAGGGCACCAUGUCUUGCUCCUGUGUACAUUAUGAAUCAUUUCAAAGUAUUGCAUUUUAUUUUACACAAGACAACUGUCACUACUUCAGUUCUCUCAAAUACUGUAAAUCAUUAAAACAAUACAUGUCUAUGGAUUAGCAGAA